This is a long non-coding RNA of Cervus elaphus (red deer), 2541 nucleotides long. RefSeq lists it as uncharacterized. The transcript is spliced from 4 exons. The record is from RefSeq and is a predicted model, not a curated record. NCBI's taxonomy places the organism in Eukaryota, Metazoa, Chordata, Mammalia, Artiodactyla, Cervidae.
CUGGGCGGGGCGAGCUGGGAGGCGGAGCGAACUGGGAGGCGCGCGGCGCGCUGGGACUGUGAGGACGCCCUGGCGGAGCCGCUAGAGCCGGCUUGUCUUGAGGUCACUCAUUAUGGGGAAGGUGGAUGCUGUGUCACUGCAGACAAUCGAGCAGCUUCACAGAGAGGUCCACAUGUGACAGCUUCUACCUGAAUGAUUCAUACAUCUGAGAACUGCUGCUGACUUCUUGAAGAUCCCUUGGAGGAGGAAAUGGCAACCCACUCCCGUAUUCUUGCCUGGAAAAUCCUAUGAACAGAGGAGCCUGGUGGGCUACAGUCCAAGGGGUUGUGAAGAGUAAGACACGACUGAGCUCAUUCGCACACAGCACAGCUGACUGACUUCUUAAAUCUCUUCUCACUCUUAGAUAAGUGUUGAACAGAAAUAGUGAACGGAACAUCGCUACCUUGAUGGAUCAUAAUCUUAGAGAACCUUCACUCUUUCAACAUUAAAUGUACUAGAUAACUCUAGGUUUUUUGUAAAUUCCCCUUAUCAGUUUGAAGGAGUCUCCUUCUCUUCUUAGUUUGUUGAGAGAUCUUAUCAUGACUGGAUGUUGAAUUUUGCCAAAUUAUUUUUCCAUAGCUAUUGAAAAGAUCAUCUUGGUUUCUUUUUCAACCCAUUAAUGUUGUUAAUUCCCAUAUCCUUUACAAGGUAUGUUAAAUCUCCAGGAGGAACAACAAUACAGAUUUUGACCACAGAGCCUUCAUUUUCACUGAAUACUUUUAAGAACUAAUGAUCUAUAGAACAUACUGGGAAAUGCUCAUAUAGAAACUAUAUGUAUAGCAUGAACAUAACCCUUUUUAGACCCACAGGAUUAUUAAUAAUAGGUAACCAAGAUAAUGUAGAGAAUGCACUUAGCUUAAUGCUGAGCACAUAAGUACUCUAGAGAUAUUCAAAUAUUAAAAACUAAUUCAAAUAUUAAAUUGAACAUGAAUUCUACAUUUAUUUUAUGCUUACUUUUUCAGAGUCACUGUUAGUGAUAUUACAAAUAUUAACAUAAAAAUUAGGAUAACUUAUUUAAAACAUGACUAAGUUAUUUUCAGUUUCUCUUACCCAAUAAGGAAAAUGGUCUGUCAAUAUAUUCUGUCAAAAUUAUAAAGAACAGUUGUUUUCACAGCUUAGAUUCACCAGAUUUCAACCUUACCCUGCAGAGAAGCCUGACUGAAUUUAAAGAUAUUCCUCAAUACCAACACAGGUUGAAAAUAACUUUUAUGAAAUUCCUCCCAUGUUGUCUAUCAUUCACUUAAGAAGGCUUCAGCUGUGUGGGAAGUCACAGAGAACAAUAUGGAUUUUAAGGGUGACUUGUUCCAAAGAGAAUGCAAACAUUUGUAUGGACUCAUGGAAAGCAGGUUAUAAUUGUUGAAAACACAUAUACACACAAAAGUCAAUACGUAUAUCUUAUUUUUUACUUGGAGAGUCCCAAACGUAUUGUCUGUGCUGUUAUAUAAUUUAUUGAUCAAUCACAGACUGAGUUUUAAUUUGACUAGUGUGAUAGGGCCUGUUCCUUUUGGUAUUAAAAAUUCUCAGGAAAGGGGAACCAGACAAUCGCAAGUCACAACUGUCAAAUUGUCUUUUCUGUUACAAGUUUUGCUUUAUAACUUUGAGUAAUUACAGGGAUUAGAUGCUAUCCCUGGGACAAUAGUUUCCUCACAUUUCAGAACAGCAGUUUAUAAUGAUGCUUAUAUGUUAGUUUGAUAUUGCGUGUUGUUAAAAGAAUCUGCAGGUCUAGACUGGAGCUUAGGUUUUAAGUGAGUGGUAGUGAUGUUCUGUAUCCCAAACAGAAGGACAUGUGUUUCUCUGAGCAGGAAUAAUUGGGUACCAGGAAGGAGUCAUACUGCCUUUGCUAUUUGGAAGGGAGGGAGGGUAGUGUUGAGGAGGAAGAUUCAUCAGGCCUUCACCUCCUAGUCCGAGAAUGCAUAAGGAAGAGUUUAUCUUGAUCAAUAAACAGCCAUGUAGUUGGUAGAAUUCUGCCUCGGAGUGAUCAUAAAGGCCAGGAGACCAGCCUUAAAAUUAUGAAACCUAGGUUCAAGUCCUACUAAUGCCACUUAUUUUAGAAAAUUUGCUAAUUUCUCUGAGCUUUAUCAUUUGUAAAGUUCUCAUCUUCAUCAAUCUCAACUCAUAGUUUUAUGGUAAAACUAUAACAGUGACCUGCAAAAUAUUUUAUAAACUACAACUCACUAUAAUAUUGCUACCUCUUGCUCAAAUGCACGAACUUCAAAAUAGUUGCUGUGGUCAUUUUUAAUAUUCAAAGAAAGUAAAAGGGCCAAACUGGUUUGGUUUUUUUUUUUUUCAGUUUUUUUUAAUCCAUGGUCUGUAACUGACUAUGACCCUAUUUCUUUGAAAUAUGUGUCAAUAUUUUCUGGGUUACAUAGUUGAUGUUAUGAAUCUAUAACUUCUAACAUUGUUAUUUUUAUCCUUGUGGUUAUUAACAAUUAUAACCUAGCUCAUAUGUAAGUCUCCCCAAUUCUUAAAAAUGUUUAUUUAGUGGCUUGUGAUCAUGACUUC